AUGAAGAAGACCGAUCCCUCCGGGUUACUUAACUUGGAUGACGAUGAUGAUGAUGAUGAUGAGUCGAAGGUAGAACUUGAUUCUCUUGGGUCAUUUUUUGUACAUCUCAUUGACAACAACUAUUAUCAGGAUGAAGAGGAAGCCAGCCGCGUGGGUGAUGAAGAGGUAAUUAUUCUUUCCUCCGGCUCAGAACCUCUACCAAAACAGAAAUCUCGACAAGCAAGCCGUAAAGCAAGGUUUUCUCAUCCAUUAGCUUAUUUGGAUCCCAACUUUAUUUUGAAGAAGCAGCAACAUGAAGCUCGUCGCAAAACCCAGAAUAGCGGAGGCGGGAUUCCUUUCUCUAGCUUACCGAACACACCAGCCCCUCGCAAACAUUGUCCAGAGGUUUCGCCAAUUUCUGACUUAGCUUAUCCCAAGGCGGGUCUUUUUCGACAACCUCUUAAUCCUUCCAACUCAAAUUACCAGGGAUCAUAUCAUUCCUCCUCUAGCGACUGA
Molecule: ribosomal RNA, 495 nt
Filed under: Triticum aestivum (bread wheat)
Lineage: Eukaryota; Viridiplantae; Streptophyta; Magnoliopsida; Poales; Poaceae
Description: partial small subunit ribosomal RNA
Source: RNAcentral